RNAcentral lists this ribosomal RNA (468 nucleotides) under uncultured bacterium. Its description in RNAcentral is "partial 16S ribosomal RNA". It matches the Rfam family "Bacterial small subunit ribosomal RNA", at positions 28 to 507 of the family's 1533-position model. The record is from RNAcentral.
GACGAACGCUGGCGGCGUGCUUAACACAUGCAAGUCGAACGGAAAGGCCCUGCUUUUGUGGGGUGCUCGAGUGGCGAAAGGGUGAGUAACACGUGAGUAACCUGCCCUUGACUUUGGGAUAACUUCAGGAAACUGGGGCUAAUACCGGAUAGGAGCUCCUGCUGCAUGGUGGGGGUUGGAAAGUUUCGGCGGUUGGGGAUGGACUCGCGGCUUAUCAGCUUGUUGGUGGGGUAGUGGCUUACCAAGGCUUUGACGGGUAGCCGGCCUGGGAGGGUGACCGGCCACAUUGGGACUGGGAUGCGGCCCAGACUCCUACGGGAGGCAGCAGUGGGGAAUUUUGCACAAUGGGCGGAAGCCGGAUGCAGCAACGCCGCGUGCGGGAUGACGGCCUUCGGGUUGUAAACCGCUUUCGCCUGUGACGAAGCGUGAGUGACGGUAAUGGGUAAAGAAGCACCGGCUAACUACGUG